CCUCUCUAAGCAUUUCGAUCGAAGAUUCAGAACUCUCUCUCUCUCUCUCAACUCUUGUACGCACACAUCUCUCUCUCCCUCUCAACCCUCCCUAAGCUCCAUCGAAGAUUCAGAUCGAAGCUCCAUCGAAGCGAUUUUGAAGCUCCAUUGAAGAUUCAGAUCGAAGCGCCAUCGAAGCGAUUUUGAAGCUCCAUCAAAGAUUCAUACCUAAGCUCCAUCGAAGAUUCAGAUCGAAGCCCCAUGGAAGCGAUUUCGAAGCUGCACCGGCGAGGUAGCGAGCUCCACCGGCUCAUUUGCAAAGAUUUAGUGAUUUCCAGAAGCUCAGAUCUGAACUCUGACCCCUCGAUUACUCGCAUUUCAAGCUCUGAUCUGAAAAAAAUCUCAGUUCGAUUCUUGAGGAUUUUUGCACAGAGUCUUGUCUGGCCUCUAAGACCGACCAUUUACUUGUAGAUACUAUUGAAAGCAGGGUGUUGAGUAACAAGGAGGGAGAGUCUUCUCUUUCAGAAUCCAAGUGGUUAGAACAUGAUGAAUCUUUGGCUAUUUGGGUCAAGAGGGAUUUCUUAUUCUAUCCUCCAUGGGCUUUUGGGUUGCCAAUUUGGGUCCUCAGUAUACCCCUCUCCUUAGUGGAAUCAGCAAUAUGGAUCAGUCUUACAUAUUACACAAUUGGGUUUGCUCCAGACACCAG
Non-coding RNA from Camellia sinensis, 685 nucleotides. Lineage: Eukaryota; Viridiplantae; Streptophyta; Magnoliopsida; Ericales; Theaceae. The record is from RefSeq and is a predicted model, not a curated record.